This 1020-nucleotide long non-coding RNA is filed under the name Vulpes vulpes (red fox). Its description in RNAcentral is "lncRNA (ENSVVUG00000021036.1)". Lineage: Eukaryota; Metazoa; Chordata; Mammalia; Carnivora; Canidae. The record is from RNAcentral.
AAAAUAUCUACUUAUACAUGUUUUGUAUUUACUUCUGCAUGAAUUCUAAAGGCAAGCAACAUUUCAGAUAAUAUGUAACAUUCUGAGAUAUGUUUAUCAUUCACCAUUAUAAUAAUACUAUUUGACCAUUUGAACUAUUUUAUGGUUGACAAAUAAAAUUAUAUGAUUGACAAGAAGAAAACCCAGAAACUUUUGGACUCUGGCUUAUCUAUAAUGAUUAGAUGGAGCAAGCAACUAGAGUUGACAGCAGUCUUUCCAUUUCUGAGUUUUCCGCUCUGUUCCAUUGAUUUAUGUGUCUGUUUUUGUGCCAGUACCAUACUGUCUUGAUGAUUACAGCUUUGAGCUAGAGCUUGAAGUUCAGAAUAGUGAUGCCACCGGUUCUCAUUCCCUUUUUCAACAUUUCCUUGGAUAUUCAAUGACCACAGUCUUUCCAAAGAUAAUGUCAGAGAUCAUCUCUCCAACAAAUUUUAGCCAAAACAAAAUCAAUGGAUGCACACUGAGCCAGAGGAGACUGAAUUUAAAAGAAGGUGAUAGUGACAUCUAUCAGGCAAUUCUUCUAAAUAAAGCACAUGCCUACCCUCAGGUCUCUUCAGAGUCACCUCACCUGAGACCUACACUGUAGGAUCAGCCUACUGGGAACACUGCCAAGCUCAAGGGAAAGAGGAAAAUACCAAGGUGGAGAAUGAUGUAAUGGCUUGUAAAUCUUCUUUUUGGGAAUGCACAUAUCAAUUGCCAUCAUCUAUUUACCAAGGCCAGUAACAAGAUCAAGCCUAAAGUCAAUGAGGUGGAAAGGUACAGAUAUUCCCUGAAUUAGUAUGGGGUUAUGUCCCAGUAAAUCCACUGUAAGUUGGAAAUAUCAUAGGUCAAAAAUGCAUUUAAUGCGUCUCACCAAACAUCAUAGAUUAGCCUAGUCUACUUUAAAUGUGCUCAGAAUAAUUUAUGAGCCUAGAGUUGGGUGAAAUCAUCUAACAAAGCUUAUUUUAUAAUAAAGUGUUGAAUAUCUCCUGUUAUUUAUUGAAU